UUUGGAUGUUUUCCCUUUUCAUUACAGUUUUAAAUAAAGUUCUGGUUCAAAGGCCCAACCCCAGAAAUUGUAAAUCACUACAAAGAUACCAAGUGGAGAUUUGGAAUGAUCCCAGGCUUGGAGAGUGCCUUUCCCUCCCGCUGGCACAGCCAGGCAGCAGCACAGAGCAGCUGAGAGCCAGCAGUGAGUGUGCAAGGCCACUCUUCUUGGAAGAAACACCAAGGAUGGAUAUGGAGGCAGGAACUUCCCAUUUUCACACAGCUGCUUCCUCACCAGGAUGGGAGUCAGGACAUCACCACUAGUACAGAACUAGCCCUGUGACUCCAUGUGAAUAUGGAGAUAUCCAUCAACCAGUGGCUGUUCUGAGACACUGUGACCCAAGCACUGCCUGUUUCCAGCUCCUACUCCUCCGAGGGUUUGUGCUCAUCCUUAAGCUGAAUGCAAGAUAUUUCCAAACAAGUUUAUGAAGGCAAGAAAAGACAACAUCAUAAACAGCACCUGGGAGUCAGGAAGAAGAAUUAUGUUCCCACUCAGGACAGGCUGAGAAGAUUCUCUGUUAUUAGUCACCAAAAAGUCUUCAUGUGGAAAGGUAAAAGACAAUCAGAUGCAAUAACAGCCCUGCUACAUUAAUCUUGCUCUUCAGGAAACUGCAUGCUUUAAAAGGUGAGGUCAUUUGCAGCUUGCAGGAGAGGAACAAUGGAAGCAAAUGGCUGUAUCUACUUUGAGAAGAAUUUUUGAGAAGUACAGACACUGACUCCUGUGUGGCUGUGACUGGACUGCUCCUGGAAAAGGGCCAUUCCCUCCUGAAAACCAGGCUGAAUCUGCUCCAGAAAGGAAAAGCAGAAGCGAGUGAAGGCUAAGGUUGGAUGCAGCCCAGGAGAGAGCUGAGUGCAUUUGCUGCGUAGAAGAGCAGAGAACAGGAGAGGGGGCUGUGCAGCAGGAAAAGUGCUUCCCUCUGCCCUGGAGAUGGGAGACCACAGUGGAAGAGACAGAGCGAGUGGGGAAACAACAUGCUGCUUCUCCAUCUCCUCCCCUGCCCCCAGAAAUCCACCCCAUCCUAUGGGCAACCCUGAGGCUCACAAGUGGUGGAUUAUUUCCAGCUCUGCCACCUCCUUUGCAGUACUGGACAGAUUCUCCUCUCCUGGUGAGGAUUACUCUUAAAUCACAGCACAAGCUAGAGAUAUAGAAUCUCUCUGCACGUUUAUAAAUAGCUCACCUACACAUUUCACAGGAGUGCAAAUGCCAAUAAGCAGUUUUAAUGGUAGCUCAGACAAUGACAAUGGCAGACAAUGAAAAAACUGCCACCUUUCUCCAGCGUGCCCUUUCUUCCCACAUCCAUCAUAAUAAUGGUGACAAUUAAAACCUGGGAGAAAGCCCAGGACACUGACAAUUAGUGACUGCAGGCCAGGCCUGAAACAUGGUCAAGGAUCAGUGGUUACAAGUCUGUGAAACAGGCUGGGCAAGUCAUGAACUGAGCACACAAAUGACACCUCAGGUCCUCGCCUCAUCCUCCCCACAAGCCUGGACCACAUCUCACAUAUUUUCUGCACCACGCCGUGGCCCCUCUCCUGCCCACGCAGCAGGCAGAGCUUUUAACUUGCCAAACAGCUUGGCACAGAUCACAGCAUGGUGGGGAGGAGAGGUUUCAAGGCAUAAACAGAACAAGCCCAGCCUGGCCAGCGGAAGGAGAGGGAUUCAUCACUUACACCGCACCAGGAGCAGCGCGCCCUGGGCAGGACUGCAGCGUCUGGGACGUGCUGCAGAUCAGGGCUGUGCCACCUGGCUGGACCCCGUGAGCCACAAACACAGAGCCACAGCCACAGCCUUCCCUGUGCGUGAGCCAGUGCAGCCAGCGCUUCUGUCUGUCCGUCCGUCCGUCUGUCCUCCACCCCACAGCACAGCCAAGGCCCACCCCUGAGUGCAGGGACAAAACGAGUUGGGUCACUGACCUGCAACCACAUCAGCAGGAACUGGCUGCUCAGAAGGCUCUCUGAGGAAUGUGCUUGUUCUGCUGGAGUUUCUGCCCCAGAUCCUACAAGCCAGCAAGGUCUUGCUAGGUCAUCUGAUAAGCACCAUCUCCAGCAGAACCAGCUCAGGUGCAGCGACUGGUUUCUUCCACAAUUACUAUGAAUUUAGCUGAUUUUAAGCAAAUAUAUUGUAAAUUAUUGUGUGUCUCUGCCUUUGCUCAUAUGUCACUCUAAAAAAAAUCAACUGUAAAACACAGAAAGCUCUUUCAGUCCUUCAGCACACAGAGCACCUUUCUUUCCACUUAUGUCUCUAGCUUUGACAGAAUCAACCACAAAUUAAACUAGAUCCAGCCUGGCCAGCAAAAGGGGACUUCUGCUGGAAGACAGGAUUCAGGAGUGCUCAGUAACAUUAGGAUUUACAGACUGGUCUGAGCCCACAGCACCAGGCGCUGUAAGGAUGAAGUAAACAGCCUCUGCUCCACAGGUUUUUAAAAGCAGCAGCUAAAUGCAGCAGGGAGAAGCAAGGGAAUAAUUAACCAUAUCAUUACACUGCCAUGUAGUGUCUGAUGGAAAUUGCCAUCUUGAAGCAAACUGAUUUCCACCAUUGCUGAUUGUUUGAGGGCUGAGGGUAAUAAGAGUUUUAUUCCACGCUUUCAAGAAAAAGCCUGGAUGUACUUGUGAGAGCAGCAUGCAGGCAGCAGAGAUUGUGGCAUUUGGGGAGGGCUGAUGGCCCUGCACAGUGUAAUGAAGCAUUAAAAAACAAGAAAAGCUGUUGCUGCAGUUCGGGAACAGAUCAAAGGCCGGGAGCACCCCAGGAGUGAAAAGAGGAGCUGAUAACAGGGAACAUGGGUGCGACUGAGCCCUGGAGCACCUUGCUGGUGCAGAUAGCGAGCCUGGGAGUGAGUCACUGACAGAUCAAAUGCCGGGACAACAGAGCUGUGCGUGCCAGCAGGCAGAUCAGGCAGGAGAAAUCCAAGGCUUUAGGCUCUCGCAGCCUUGAAGAACCUCUUCGUGCUUCUGAAAAAUUAAGCCUUGUGAUGGAACCAAAAAUAUUCACGUUUCGUGUGAGUCCCACCUGCAGAUGCUGAAGAACUGCGCUGAGGCCUCUCUCUGGCACGGGACGGCUGCUGCCUCCCACCCAGAGCUGAGUUCCAGCUCCAGCUGCCCUUCGGCCAGCGCUUCAUAAUCUCCAUGAAAUGUCAGAAUCUGCCUGAAUGAGAAAUGGAGAAAUCCUGUGAAAACGCAGCCGAGGCAAUGGUAACGGUAAAAACAUUCAAAAAGGGAAGGAGGUUCUUCCUUCACAGCCCCUCUGCCUAAAUACCUCCAGGUUUUUAGUCAGGAUAAUGGUUUUCACCUCUCCUACCUCCAAAAUCCUGCUGGUGCCAAGCAGCUGCAGUGUUCUAGUACAAAACCCUGGCAGGAGGAGCUCAACUUUGGGUUUCCAAAUCACUGAGGGCAAACAGGGUGGUACUUUGAUCAAGAGGCAGAGGUGCCCUUUAACAGCAGGAGCGGGCUAGGGACCAGCCUUUAAUAUCAAACUUUUUUUGGUGCUGAUUUAAGCCCAGCACC
This is a long non-coding RNA of Pyrgilauda ruficollis (rufous-necked snowfinch), 3536 nucleotides long. RefSeq lists it as uncharacterized. The transcript is spliced from 3 exons. Lineage: Eukaryota; Metazoa; Chordata; Aves; Passeriformes; Passeridae. The record is from RefSeq and is a predicted model, not a curated record.